CGGUGAAUACGUUCCCGGACCUUGCACACACCGCCCGUCAAGCCAUGGAAGCCGGGUGUACCUAAAGUCGAUAACCGCAAGGAGUCGCCUAGGGUAAAACUGGUGACCGGGGCU
This 114-nucleotide ribosomal RNA is filed under the name uncultured bacterium. RNAcentral's name for it is "partial 16S ribosomal RNA". It matches the Rfam family "Bacterial small subunit ribosomal RNA", at positions 1360 to 1482 of the family's 1533-position model. The record is from RNAcentral.